GGGUACAAACUCGUCCCUGUGGGCCUUGUUAAAGCUUUCCUAAAUCAAUCCUGGCGUUUUAUAAGAGGAUGCCGGGAAAGGUUUUCCGAUUUAUCCCGGAGGGCUUGUAAUUCAAUUGGUUAAAGCGCGCGCUUGAUAGGCGUGAGGUCGGAGGUUCAAGUCCUCCCAGGCCCACCAAUUAAUUUUCUCCCUCCCUUUCUGGCCUUAUCAUUUUGGUACUUUAACACCUCCAACACUACAGGGCAGUGUGUAGUUUCCCAAAUCCACCAAGCUAUUUUACAUCACUCUGCUUUUACAAAGGCGGUUGUGGCUUUCUGAAUCCCGUUCACCUUAAAGUCCUCCCAGGCCCACCAAUUA
RNAcentral lists this unclassified non-coding RNA (357 nucleotides) under Bartonella koehlerae. RNAcentral describes it as "partial 16S-23S ribosomal RNA intergenic spacer". The stretch from base 101 to 174 matches the Rfam family "tRNA". Lineage: Bacteria; Pseudomonadati; Pseudomonadota; Alphaproteobacteria; Hyphomicrobiales; Bartonellaceae. The record is from RNAcentral.